AUUGAACGCUGGCGGCAUGCCUAACACAUGCAAGUCGAACGAGUGGCGGACGGGUGAGUAAUGUCUGGGAACCUGCCUGAUGGCGGGGGAUAACUACUGGAAACGGUAGCUAAUACCGCAUACCAUCAGAUGUGCCCAGAUGGGAUUAGCUAGUUGGUGGGGUAAAGGCUCACCAAGGCGACGAGCCCUAGCUGGUCUGAGAGGAUGACCAGCCACACUGGAACUGAGACACGGUCCAGACUCCUACGGGAGGCAGCAGUGGGGAAUUUUGGACAAUGGGCGAAAGCCUGAUGCAGCCAUGCCGCGUGUAUGAAGAAGGCCUUCGGGUUGUAAAGUACUUUCAGCGGGGAGGCGUUACCCGCAGAAGAAGCACCGGCUAACUCCGUGCCAGCAGCCGCGGUAAUAC
RNAcentral lists this ribosomal RNA (406 nucleotides) under uncultured bacterium. Its description in RNAcentral is "partial 16S ribosomal RNA". It matches the Rfam family "Bacterial small subunit ribosomal RNA", at positions 30 to 526 of the family's 1533-position model. The record is from RNAcentral.